AGGAUCUAGCAGACAGAAGAAAGUGGGCCAAGCACAUGGCGUCUCAGUGGCAGGGCAUGAGGACCUCUGUGCGCAGACGAUCACUCCUUAAGGAGGAACAACUAGAGAAGGAGGUGACCCGGUCUGCUGGGGGUCAUCUGGAGACCUGUCCCUUGGGAUCCCUGUGCAGACAGUUCUAAAGGAGGCCGCCUCUGAGAGCGGUCAGCCUGAACCUUGGUAAUGGCCCCUCCUGGAAACGCCUGGAAAGUCCAAAGCCAGAACAGCAAGGUCUUCAGGCUGCAGCUCGUUCAGCCAAAAGUGCUUUGGGUGCCAUGUCCCAGAGGAUCCAAGAGUCCUGUCAAAGUGGCACCAAGUGGCUGAUGGAGACACAGGUGACAGUGAGGAGGAAGCGAGGAGCCCAGAAAGACAGAGGGUCGCCACCACCCAGUCUGAGCCAGAAGAAUACUCGGCUAUACAGAGCCAACCGGGAUGCUAGAGUCGGGGGACAUCCUCGCCUCUCUGGCCAGAUGGGUCCACAUGCCCAUCGCCGUCAGCAGCUAAGGAGGGAGGCUGCCCUCCGGAGCCCCUGUUCCUCGACAGAACCUCUCUGCUCUCCCAGUGAGUCUGACAGCGACCUAGAGGCUGUGGGAGCUGGAAUCCAGCACCUUCAGAAGCUGUCUCAAAAGCUGGACAAAGCCAUCAAGGCUGAAGAGAGUGGUGACAUGACCGUCUCCCAUAUCCGUGAAUGAGGACAGCAAGCAUCCUACAGGAAGCCAGCUCCGUCCAGCCACCAAGCCACCAGGAUGUCCAUGCCACCCAACCCAUGAGCUUCCUGGACACGGCAUUGGGUUUAUCAGCAUCC
Mastomys coucha (southern multimammate mouse) is the source of this 841-nucleotide RNA transcript. It is a transcript of the gene named protein PIMREG pseudogene, with no coding region annotated. The record is from RefSeq and is a predicted model, not a curated record. Lineage: Eukaryota; Metazoa; Chordata; Mammalia; Rodentia; Muridae. The transcript has a single exon.